Molecule: transfer RNA, 72 nt
Filed under: Camelus bactrianus (Bactrian camel)
Lineage: Eukaryota; Metazoa; Chordata; Mammalia; Artiodactyla; Camelidae
Also listed under: 2 other names
Rfam family: tRNA
About the family: Transfer RNA (tRNA) molecules are approximately 80 nucleotides in length. Their secondary structure includes four short double-helical elements and three loops (D, anti-codon, and T loops).
Source: Rfam by way of RNAcentral
GAGGGUAUAGCUCAGUGGUAGAGUGUGUGCCUAGCAUGCAUGAGGUCCUGGGUUCAAUCCCCACUACCUCCA